AUUGAACGCUGGCGGCAGGCUUAACACAUGCAAGUCGAGCGGGGGAAGGUAGCUUGCUACCGGACCUAGCGGCGGACGGGUGAGUAAUGCUUAGGAAUCUGCCUAUUAGUGGGGGACAACAUCUCGAAAGGGAUGCUAAUACCGCAUACGUCCUACGGGAGAAAGCAGAGGAUCUUCGGACCUUGCGCUAAUAGAUGAGCCUAAGUCGGAUUAGCUAGUUGGUGGGGUAAAGGCCUACCAAGGCGACGAUCUGUAGCGGGUCUGAGAGGAUGAUCCGCCACAGUGGGACUGAGACACGGCCCAGACUCCUACGGGAGGCAGCAGUGGGGAAUAUUGGACAAUGGGGGGAACCCUGAUCCAGCCAUGCCGCGUGCGUGAAGAAGGCCUUAUGGUUGUAAAGCACUUUAAGCGAGGAGGAGGCUACUCUAGUUAAUACCUAGGGAUAGUGGACGUUACUCGCAGAAUAAGCACCGGCUAACUCUGUGCCAGCCGCCGCCGUAA
Molecule: ribosomal RNA, 501 nt
Filed under: uncultured bacterium
Lineage: Bacteria
Description: partial 16S ribosomal RNA
Rfam family: Bacterial small subunit ribosomal RNA
Source: RNAcentral